This 1210-nucleotide ribosomal RNA is filed under the name metagenome. Its description in RNAcentral is "bacterial LSU rRNA". It matches the Rfam family "Bacterial large subunit ribosomal RNA", at positions 1601 to 2820 of the family's 2925-position model. The record is from RNAcentral.
CAUACUUCCAAGAAAAGCUUGCACUGUCAUAAACAAAGAAUGCCUGUACCAUAACCGACACAGGUGGGUAGGUAGAGUAUACUAAGGGGCGCGAGAUAACUCUCUCUAAGGAACUCGGCAAAAUGACUCCGUAACUUCGGGAGAAGGAGUGCCUUAUUUUUAAGGUUGCAAUAACAAGAUCCAAGCAACUGUUUACCAAAAACACAGGUCUCCGCUAAGUCGUAAGACGAUGUAUGGGGGCUGACGCCUGCCCAGUGCCAGAAGGUUGAAGAAGUUGGUUAGCAUUCGCGAAGCUGAUAACUGAAGCCCUGGUGAACGGCGGCCGUAACAAUAACGGUCCUAAGGUAGCGAAAUUCCUUGUCGGGUAAGUUCCGACCCGCACGAAAGGCGUAAUGAUUUGGAUACUGUCUCGGAGAGGGGCUCGGUGAAAUAGACUUGUCUGUGAAGAUGCGGACUACCUGCACCUGGACAGAAAGACCCUAUGAAGCUUUACUGUAACUUGAGAUUGAAAUUGGACUUUAUUUGCGCAGUAUAGGUGGGAGGCGUUGAGAAUAAUCUUGCGGGAUUAUGGGAGCCAUCAGUGAGAUACCACUCUUGUAAUGUUAGAUUUCUAACUUUGUAUCAUUAUCUGGUCAAAGAACAGUUUCAGGCGGGCAGUUUGACUGGGGCGGUCGCCUCCCAAAGGGUAACGGAGGCGCACAAAGGUUUCCUCUGAACGGGUAGAAAUCGUAUCUAGAGUGUAAAGGCAUAAGGAAGCUUGACUGUGAGACCUACAAGUCGAGCAGGGACGAAAGUCGGUCUUAGUGAUCUGACGGUGCUGAGUGGAAAGGCCGUCACUCAACGGAUAAAAGUUACUCUAAGGAUAACAGGCUGAUCUCCCCCAAGAGUUCACAUCGACGGGGAGGUUUGGCACCUCGAUGUCGGCUCAUCGCAUCCUGGGGCGGUAGUACGUCCCAAGGGUUGGGCUGUUCGCCCAUGAAAGCGGUACGCGAGCUGGGUUCAGAACGUCGUGAGACAGUUCGGUCCAUAUCCGGUGUAGGCGUUAGAAUAUUGAAAGGAGCCUUCUCUAGUACGAGAGGACCGAGAAGGACAUACCUCUGGUGUACCAGUUAUCGUGCCAACGGUAAACGCUGGGUAGCUAUGUAUGGAGUGGAUAACCGCUGAAAGCAUCUAAGUGGGAAGCCCACCUUAAGAUAAGUAUUCUCAUCAU